This 423-nucleotide ribosomal RNA is filed under the name uncultured Parvarchaeota archaeon. Its description in RNAcentral is "bacterial SSU rRNA". It matches the Rfam family "Archaeal small subunit ribosomal RNA", at positions 322 to 747 of the family's 1478-position model. Lineage: Archaea; Nanobdellati; Candidatus Parvarchaeota. The record is from RNAcentral.
CCUACGGGAGGCAGCAGGCGGGAAACCUUUACACUACGCGAAAGCGUGAUAAGGGGAUCCUAAGUGCUUACCUUAUGGUAGGCUUUUGCCGAGUGCAAAUAGCUCGGAGAAUAAGUGGUGGGCAAGACCGGUGCCAGCCGCCGCGGUAACACCGGCGCCACGAGUGGGGGUCAUAUUUAUUGGGCCUAAAGCGUUCGUAGCCGAAUCUGCAAGUCUCUUGUGAAAUCGCCAUGCUCAACAUGACGGAUGGCAAGAGCGACUACAGAUUUAGAGAUCGGGAGGAGGCAGGGGUAUUCCUUGGGGAGCGGCAAAAUGUUUUAAUCCUUGGAAGACCACCUGUGGCGAAGGCGUCUGCCUAGAACGAAUCUGACGGUGAGGAACGAAAGCUGGGGGAGCGAUCCGGAUUAGAUACCCUGGUAGUCC